Molecule: ribosomal RNA, 253 nt
Filed under: uncultured bacterium
Lineage: Bacteria
Description: partial 16S ribosomal RNA
Rfam family: Bacterial small subunit ribosomal RNA
Source: RNAcentral
UACGUAGGGUGCAAGCGUUAAUCGGAAUUACUGGGCGUAAAGCGUGCGCAGGCGGUUGGGCAAGACAGAUGUGAAAUCCCCGGGCUCAACCUGGGAACUGCAUUUGUGACUGCCCGGCUAGAGUGUGUCAGAGGGGGGUAGAAUUCCACGUGUAGCAGUGAAAUGCGUAGAGAUGUGGAGGAAUACCGAUGGCGAAGGCAAUCCCCUGGACCUGUACUGACGCUCAUGCACGAAAGCGUGGGGAGCAAACAGG